RNAcentral lists this ribosomal RNA (253 nucleotides) under uncultured bacterium. RNAcentral's name for it is "partial 16S ribosomal RNA". It matches the Rfam family "Bacterial small subunit ribosomal RNA", at positions 524 to 777 of the family's 1533-position model. The record is from RNAcentral.
UACGAAGGGGGCUAGCGUUGCUCGGAAUCACUGGGCGUAAAGGGUGCGUAGGCGGGUUUUAAGUCAGGGGUGAAAUCCUGGAGCUCAACUCCAGAACUGCCUUUGAUACUGAAGAUCUUGAGUCCGGGAGAGGUGAGUGGAACUGCGAGUGUAGAGGUGAAAUUCGUAGAUAUUCGCAAGAACACCAGUGGCGAAGGCGGCUCACUGGCCCGGUACUGACGCUGAGGCACGAAAGCGUGGGGAGCAAACAGGG